GCCCUGAGAGGCGGUGAGGCUGUGCAGUCCGGGUUCUGCUGAGCUUUCUCCCCACUUCCUUUUCGCUGCCCAGUUUUCCUGUCCUUGAUGUCCCGGGCCUGGCGUGUCUUGGACGGAAACUCGGCAUCUUCUGUUUACUGCUGGCAUCCACGAAACAGUAACAGGCCCCAGACUCUUCACAGAUCCUGAAACCACUCACCUGCCUAAGACUGACAACGUUGGCACAAUUUCAACCUCCCUGUGCCUUUCUUCCCGGGGAAGGAAGCUGAGAGGGGAUGAAUCAAGUAACAUAAUAAACUUCUGAGAAGGCAGAGCAAUAUGUUUGGGUCUCCAUCUUUCUUUCAAAAAAGAAGCUUCAUAUCAAGACUUGGAAAGAAGUGCAAAUCUCUUAGUGAAGAAACUGCCAAGAAAAUUACUGCUCACCUAGCUCAAAGAGAAACAUUAAUUAAAGGAUGGAAUCUUCACAGUCAAGAAUUGAGAAAGCAAGGGCUGCAAUAUAUAUCCUGAUUUCCAUCUAAUGUAAAGUUGGCUGCUCGUAUAUCAUAUGUUUGGAAUAUAAGCCUUUACAAUUGAUGGGCAUAUUUGAUGUGCUAUAUUUAUAUGUUUUUUAAAUUAAACUGUUAUUUGCUUGUAAGAAUUCUAAACCACACUUCUCCCAAAAAUGUAACGAGAAUAUAGACAGUCAUGCUUGGACAAAUUCUGAUCUUUUAUAAGAUUUCUGAGUUGAUCUUAGUUAUAUUUACUGAGGGCUGGAAGUUUAUUUUCUGAAGUGUGUAAGACAGAAGGUCUCUGGUCUGGGAGCAAAAAGGAAAAAUGGAAGGUGUGAGUAUUAUAUUGAAAAUCGAAUGAUCAAGUUAAUUUAGCCAUUUUCUCCUACUCAGCUCCCCAUAUACUGGUAGCCAGGUCUUCAUCAUCCAGAGAAGAAAUUAACGGUCUCUAGAAAAUAAUACAAACUCAAGAGGAAGUUCCAAAGAUGCUGACAUCAGAAAUUUCUUGAAUAAAUAGCCCAACCUGAUCUACCUAAAUGAGAUUCAAUCUUAAGGCCCACUAAUGCACUCAAAGAGACCAGUGAGAUUUUUACAAAACUACAAAAUAUGAAAAGACAAUAUAUGUCAAAUAUGAGAAGACAAUAGUAUAUAUGCGUAUAUAAUUAUAUAUAAAGUAUUAAAAUAUAUGUGAAGACAGAAACACCAUAAAAUAUGAUAAGAUGAUUAAGGGUUAUCAGACAUUGAAAACCAUUAUAUAAUUUGGAAGACAGAGACAAAAACAAAUAGAUAUAAAGCAAUUUGGAGGCAAGAGGCCAUGCAGAAAAAAAAAAAAAAAAACCUGAAAAUGAGAACAAAACAGAAUUAAUAUCUUCAGAGAGAUGAGAGAUCAUACACCCCAAAACAAAAACAGGAUACUAUAAUAAAGAAGAGUUUUUACAAAUGAAAAAUAUUAUAUCAAAAAAUGAAAACUUGGAGUUCCCAUCAUGGAACAGCAGAAAUGAAUCUGACUAGGAACCAAGAGGUUGCAGGUUUGAUCCCUGGCCUCUCUCAGUGGGUUAAGGAUCCGGCGUUGCUGUGAACUAAGGUGUAGGUCUCAGGCUUGGAUCUAAUGUUGCUGUGGCUUUGGCAUAGGCCGGCAAUUGUAGCUCCAGUUCAGCCCCUGGCCUGGGAAACUCCAUACGCUGCAGGUGCGGGCCUAAAAAGCAAAAAC
Molecule: long non-coding RNA, 1698 nt
Filed under: Sus scrofa (pig)
Lineage: Eukaryota; Metazoa; Chordata; Mammalia; Artiodactyla; Suidae
Description: lncRNA (ENSSSCG00060009180.1)
Source: RNAcentral